UCAGUGAGCGCCACAGAGCAUGCGCCGGCCUCUGACGCAUGCCCAGUUGCCUCAGCUGAAGGCACCGGAAGCGCUUCCUUUUGCCCUCACUCGCUGGAGCAAGUGAGAACAAGCCAGGCUGCUAACUUCUUUACUUCUUUAUUUUUUGAAAGGACGCCGGUCUUGUUGCUGUGUCUUGUGGCGCGACAGCCGAAGCCUGUUGCUCCCUUUUUAUCGCUAGGGAAAAGCUGCACAUGUUGCCUCAUAUGCUUGUCUCCACACACAAAUCCCAAGAAAGAAAGAAAGAAAGAAAGAAAGAAAGAAAGAAAAGAGAAAAUACAAAUCCCAGUGGGUCUGAUGAUUAGAGUUUUAUUAAUCACCUGCCGUCUCAAGGGGGUUCACACACAAUAUAGGAUAAUUAAAAACCCGUUUAAAAUGCAAAAAACAUCAACACAUAUGUUUAAAACAGGGCUAAAACCCUAACUAUUGGAUGUUUGCGGUAAAGAUCCAUUUCCCAGCUCGGAAAAAAUUAUUCAGCCUGUUUCCGGAAAGUGCAGAUAUCCAGAUUCUAUCCAGUAUUUUAAAAAUCUCUGCAGUUAACAACAACAACAAUAGAAUUUACAAGCUACCCUCCUCCCAAAGCAGUCCAAGCAGCAAACCUAUCAAUAACCUAUCAAUAACAAAGAUGGCAUCCCCUCGUACAAGAUCUUUAGGGGAGGCUCUUCUCGCGGUCCUGCCACCCUGACAGUCACACUUGGAGGGGAGAUGGGGCAGGGCCUUCUUGGUGGCUGCUCCCAGACUUUGGAACUCUCUGCCUCAAGAAGUUAGACUGGCUCCCUCCUUGCUGUCCUUCUGCCAGCAGGGUUGCCAGGAACAUUAUCUCCCAGCCACCUAAUACCUGGGUGAACAGGGAUGUUUCCAAAUUCCCCAUGAAAAUCGAGAAUGAAAAUGGCAGGCGCACUUCGCUACAGAGGAAAUUCAACGAAUGGGGAACCACCACUGAGAAGGCCCUGUCACAGCUCAACACACCAACCGAUCAGCCUCCUACUGGAGGCAGGAGCACCAAGAAGGCCUCACCUGCUGAUCAUAGGGUCCCUGAUAUUUCAUACUGGGGGGCCAUGAUAGUAAUUCAGUGAGGACCAGCAGCCUGGAAGCCCCAGGGCCAAAUCUGCCCUGCGUGAGGAGUCUUAGUUGCCCUCUCCCACCAUCGGUUGCCCCUGUUGCAGGAAACUCCCCCCCCCCAAAUCAUUCAGUUUGUGCAAACACAACACACACACACACAACAUACGCUACGCUUCUGUUAUAAAUCCAUAGAAAAUCAACCAUACAUCGGAUCUGCACCGUUCCACUUUUAUUUUAUUCCAAUAAGGAAGGACUACAAAAUGGGGAAGGUUUGAUACAGGGCAGCCAUAAUCCCAUGAGCAUACCAGCACAUACACAGGAGCCCUACCCAGUUGGCAUGACAACCUUGAUGGCCCCAGACAGAAGACCAUCAAGGUCACAAAGGACUUGCAUAUGGGAGUGGAUUCAACAUGGACUGGAACAAAGGACAAUCUUCAGAUCUUCCCUCUGGGGGCAGAAAAUUGCCAGCUCCCCUUUGUCCUCUGGAAAUGAACCAGUCAGGUGACAAGAUACUCAGGUUACCUCCACAACUCCUCCCUCAACCCCUCCUUUUUGUGAUGUGUCAAUGAUGUAGUUGUGAUGUAGUUCUAGGGGUGCAGUUUGGGGGAUUAGUAACUAAUAAAAGUUGGGGUCUUCUUUUGUUUGGGGCUUCCAUCUUGUUCCACCUGGUGGCAGGUGGGAGUCCUGUCGCGACAGUCUUCAAUAAAGACCAAGCCUACUGGCUGCUGUUUUGCUCUGGUA
This is a long non-coding RNA of Podarcis raffonei (Aeolian wall lizard), 1842 nucleotides long. RefSeq lists it as uncharacterized. Lineage: Eukaryota; Metazoa; Chordata; Lepidosauria; Squamata; Lacertidae. The record is from RefSeq and is a predicted model, not a curated record. The transcript is spliced from 2 exons.